CUCCAGAAACCCAUCAUCUGGGUUGAGCCAGGCUCUGUGAUCACCUCAGGGAAUCCUGUGACAAUCUGGUGUGAGGGAACCAUGGAAACCCAAAUAUAUUUCCUGUAUAAAGAAGGAAGCCCAGCACCCUGGGGCAGAUUGACUGCACCAAUGCCUGAUCACAGGGCCAAGUUUUUCAUCCCAUCCAUGAGAGCAUAUAAUGCAGGAUGAUACCGUUGUUACUGUUAUAACUCUGCUGGGUGGACACAGCACAGUGACACCUUGGAGAUGGUGGUGACAGGAACUGCUGAGAACAUCACUGUAUCACAAAACAUGUCCAAACCAAAGACAGACUCAGAGACACAGGAUCAUCACACAGUGGAGAAUCUGCUCAGAAUGGGGAUGGCAGGCUUUGUCUUUAUGGUCCUUGGAAUACUGGUGUUUGAGGCUUGUCACAGCAGUAGACAGAUUCAACAAAGAAAUAUACAGUGAAUGGGAGCUACAGCAACACAUCAUUUGCAGUGUCAGGGACUGGACACUAAAUAUGAGGAUUCGGGGUGGAUUUGCAAGAAAAUAAAGUGCUCAUGUUGGAGAAUUGACUAAGGGUCAAUGUGAAUUGAGUGCAAGGAAAAUAAAUAUCUGUUUAUUGGGAUGGAGAGUAUUUUCCCCACCAAUCAAAGUUAGUCCCUUACAUCUUACUGUAGACUUUUGCUGACCAAUGCUUCCUUUCUUCUCAUCUAAUGACAUGGGGGAACAUCCAGCACCAUCAACCAGGGUUCUCCCCUAAUCUUUGUACAUAUUCUGGUUUGUCUUACUUUCAUGUAACUUUCUAUUAUUUUAAAUUACUAUGUUCCCAUCAACAUUACAAAUUUCAGUUUCCUUUCUAUUGAGAGCAAAGUACUUCACUCAAUUACAAUAAACAUCAGCAGAAAUAAACCACCAGAAUAAAAAAUAAGUUACUUUA
Long non-coding RNA from Peromyscus eremicus (cactus mouse), 943 nucleotides. RefSeq lists it as uncharacterized. The record is from RefSeq and is a predicted model, not a curated record. Lineage: Eukaryota; Metazoa; Chordata; Mammalia; Rodentia; Cricetidae. The transcript is spliced from 3 exons.